Molecule: ribosomal RNA, 335 nt
Filed under: uncultured bacterium
Lineage: Bacteria
Description: bacterial SSU rRNA
Rfam family: Bacterial small subunit ribosomal RNA
Source: RNAcentral
AAGGGGAGCAAUCCCUGAGUACAGUGGCGACCGGGUGAGUAACACGUGACUACCUGCCCUUGAGUGGGGGAUAACCUCGGGAAACCGAGGCUAAUACCGCAUAAUAUCGCAAGAUCAAAGGAGCAAUCCGCUUUUGGAGGGGGUCGCGGCUGAUUAGCUAGUUGGUAAGGUAAUGGCUUACCAAGGCGAAGAUCGGUAUCCGGCCUGAGAGGGCGCACGGACACACUGGAACUGAAACACGGUCCAGACUCCUACGGGAGGCAGCAGUGGGGAAUUUUGCGCAAUGGGGGAAACCCUGACGCAGCAACGCCGCGUGGAGGAUGAAGCCCCUUGGG